Molecule: non-coding RNA, 98 nt
Organism: Acanthosepion pharaonis
Lineage: Eukaryota; Metazoa; Mollusca; Cephalopoda; Sepiida; Sepiidae
Source: the annotation of a GenBank genome assembly
GUUGAAACAUUGGUUACCGUAUGAUCAUCAAAGUUAAGCAACAUUGAGCAUGAUCAGUACCUAGAUGGGUGACUGCUUGGGAAUACCAGAUGCUGUAA